RNAcentral lists this ribosomal RNA (481 nucleotides) under Escherichia coli. RNAcentral's name for it is "partial 23S ribosomal RNA". It matches the Rfam family "Bacterial large subunit ribosomal RNA", at positions 1261 to 1744 of the family's 2925-position model. Lineage: Bacteria; Pseudomonadati; Pseudomonadota; Gammaproteobacteria; Enterobacterales; Enterobacteriaceae. The record is from RNAcentral.
CUGUGAGGCAUGCUGGAGGUAUCAGAAGUGCGAAUGCUGACAUAAGUAACGAUAAAGCGGGUGAAAAGCCCGCUCGCCGGAAGACCAAGGGUUCCUGUCCAACGUUAAUCGGGGCAGGGUGAGUCGACCCCUAAGGCGAGGCCGAAAGGCGUAGUCGAUGGGAAACAGGUUAAUAUUCCUGUACUUGGUGUUACUGCGAAGGGGGGACGGAGAAGGCUAUGUUGGCCGGGCGACGGUUGUCCCGGUUUAAGCGUGUAGGCUGGUUUUCCAGGCAAAUCCGGAAAAUCAAGGCUGAGGCGUGAUGACGAGGCACUACGGUGCUGAAGCAACAAAUGCCCUGCUUCCAGGAAAAGCCUCUAAGCAUCAGGUAACAUCAAAUCGUACCCCAAACCGACACAGGUGGUCAGGUAGAGAAUACCAAGGCGCUUGAGAGAACUCGGGUGAAGGAACUAGGCAAAAUGGUGCCGUAACUUCGGGAGAA